Non-coding RNA from Ixodes scapularis (black-legged tick), 124 nucleotides. The record is from Rfam. Lineage: Eukaryota; Metazoa; Arthropoda; Arachnida; Ixodida; Ixodidae.
ACCGUCUUUAUCUUGGGGAGCACGGCCGUCCGAGGAUCGAAAAGUGAGGGCGGCCCUGCUGACACCAAAACACAACACUCCGCGCCGCUCGGCUGACAGCUGGGUUGGUGCAAUUUUUGGACCC